RNAcentral lists this ribosomal RNA (450 nucleotides) under uncultured bacterium. RNAcentral's name for it is "partial 16S ribosomal RNA". It matches the Rfam family "Bacterial small subunit ribosomal RNA", at positions 338 to 795 of the family's 1533-position model. The record is from RNAcentral.
CCUACGGGUGGCUGCAGUGGGGAAUAUUGGGCAAUGGGCGAAAGCCUGACCCAGCGACGCCGCGUGGGCGAUGAAGGCCUUCGGGUUGUAAAGCCCUGUCAUGCGGAAAGAACGACCCUGUGACGCAUACUCACAGGGAGUGACGGUACCGCAGGAGGAAGCACCGGCUAACUCCGUGCCAGCAGCCGCGGUACUACGGAGGGUGCAAGCGUGGUUCAGAAUUAUUGGGGGGGUAAGGCAAGUCAGAGGUGAAAUACUCCGGCUCAACUGGGGAACUGCAUCUGAAACUGCAUAACUAGAGUACAGAAGAGGGAAACGGAAUUCCCGGUGUAGAGGUGAAAUUCGUAGAUAUCGGGAGGAACACCAGUGGCGAAGGCGGUUUCCUGGUCUGAUACUGACGCUGAGGCGCGAAAGUGUGGGGAGCAAACAGGAUUAGAUACCCGAGUAGUC